Canis lupus familiaris (dog) is the source of this 5484-nucleotide long non-coding RNA. RefSeq lists it as uncharacterized. The transcript is spliced from 4 exons. NCBI's taxonomy places the organism in Eukaryota, Metazoa, Chordata, Mammalia, Carnivora, Canidae. The record is from RefSeq and is a predicted model, not a curated record.
CGGGGCGGGUGCCGGAGCGGGCACCUCGCGGGCGGGGCGGCGGCGGGCGGCCCAGGUGGGACUCGGCGGUCCGGCCCGGUGACCCAUCUCUGCCCCUGCGAGGACGCGGAGUUCCUGCCCGGCUCCCGGAGGGCUUCGGAAUGCAGUCGACCCUGAUCGUGUUGCCGCAGAGCACACAAGUGGCGCCCGAACAGGGACCUGAGCACAUGCAAGAGAAAGUGCACAUAUAGAUAUGAAACUUCUAACCCAUCUGUAAGAGGAAAGCGGGGAGCAAAUGGCUUCGGCUCCACCAAUAUUUGUUGGAUUCAACUUAUUUCAAUUGACAAGCCAUAUAUAACCUUACAAAUACAAGGUCGUGGGAUCCCUGGGUGGCGCAGCGGUUUAGCGCCUGCCUUUGGCCCAGGGCACGAUCCUGGAGACCUGGGAUCGAAUCCCACGUCGGGCUCCCGGUGCAUGGAGCCUGCUUCUCCCUCUGCCUGUGUCUCUGCCUCUCUCUCUGUGUGUGUGACUAUCAUAAAUAAAUAAAAAAAUUAAAAAAAAACAAAAAAACAAAUACAAGGUCGUCCCUUUGUUGGGUUGAUAGAUAAUGGGGCUGAUGUCUCUGUUAUUUCCAGGCAACACUGGCCAAAGUGUUGGCCCCUUACAGAUUCAGAGGUUUCUAUAAGGGGUGUAGGGCUACGUGUGCCCCUCAAAUAAGUGCUAACUUUCUUAAUUGGUCUACAUCAGAAGGACAUUAUGGAACUUUUCAGCCCUUUGUUCUAAAAAUAGAUAUAAACUUAUGGGGCAGAGAUAUACUAACCGACAUGGGAGUUUUCCUCACUACAGCCCCAAUAUCUAUGCCAAAUCAACAAAAAAUAGUAAGGACUUUAAUGAAUAAAAUGGGCUAUGAUCCAAGCAAAGGUUUAGGAAAAAAUUUAGAAGGAAACCCAGUCCUCAUUUGUCUUAAGGGUCAAACCACCCGAAAAGGACUGGGUUUUCAAGGGGCCACUGAACUCUCCCCAUGCACUGCCUAUUGAAUGAAAAGUAAUGACCCUGUAUGGGUAGACCAGUGGCCCCUACCAAAAGAAAAAUUAGAGGCAGCAGCAGCAUUAGCAGACGAACAGCUGCUUUUGGGUCAUCUUCAGAGCACUCACAGUCCUUGGAACACUCCAAUAUUUGUAAUUAAAAGGAAAUCAGGAAAAUGGAGACUAUUACAAGACCUCAGGGCAGUUAAGGCUACUAUGAAGCCCAUGGGGGCUUUACAGCCAGGGCUUCCCACACCCUCCGCUAUGCUCUUACAAUUCAAGAUAAUUGUGUUGGAUCUAAAAGACUGCUUUUUCACCAUUCCUCUGGCUCCCCAGGACUGUGAGAGAUUUGCCUUUUCUAUUCCUAGCAUUAAUCAUGUGGAACCCGCAAAAAGAUUUCAUUAAAAAGUUUUGCCACAAGGAAUGGCCAACAGCUCCACCUUGUGUCAAGAAUUUGUAGCUAGAGCUCUUUCGCCUUUUUGUAAAAAGUUUAAUUCCAUUGUUUACUGAAUUCAUUAUAUGGAUGAUAUUCUUGCUGCACCUACCGAGGAGGAAAUGUUGCAAGAAGCUUUCUCAAGUCUGACCAGCAAAUUGCAGCAAUUUAAUCUAGUAAUUGCUCCUGAAAAGAUACAAAGAAUGGAGCCUUUUGAGUAUCUCGGCUUCAUUGUUAAAAAUAAAAAAAAUCAGAACUCAGAAAUUAUCCAUUAGAACGCAUUUGUUAAGAACAUUAAAUGACUAUCAAAAAUUAAUGGGGGAUAUUAAUUGGAUUAGACCCUUCUUACAUAUUACAGCUAAUGAUUUAAAGCCAUUAUUUGAUACUCUUAAGGGAGACAUUACUCCCUCAUCUCCUCGCAAAUUAUCUGAAGAAGCCCAAAAGGCUUUACAGCUUGUUAAUGAUAAGUUGUCACAGGCACAUGUGACUCAGUAUGAUCUUACACAACCUUUAUAUUUAAUCUUGUUAAUGCCUUCCCAAUUACCAGCUGCGGUCAUUUGGCAAUCUCAUGGACCUUUGGAAUGGAUCCAUUUGGCCUUACAUCAAUUACAUGUUAUAAAUGAUUACACUGAAAUGUUAGCCCGGUUGAUAUUAAGAGGUCGUCAACGCAUUAUUCUCAUGAUUGGUAAAGAACCUGAUUACAUCCUGUUGCCGAUGUUAACCGCAGAUAAGGUACAAGCUUUAUUUAGUAUGAAUUUAAAUUGGCAAAUAGCCUUGUCCUGUUAUCCGGGACAGCUUAAAUAUCAUCUUCCCGCAGACAGACUUUUGCAAUUCCUUUCUACCACGUCUGUCUUCAGUUCUGCAAUUAUAGCAACAGAACCUCUGGCUAACGCCGUCACUAUAUUUGUUGAUGCUGAUAAAACAGGGCACAUUGGAAUCUACAAGGAAUCCUCUAAGGCUAAAACAACUUAUCAAAGUCAUUAUCCCACUAAGUCAAUACAAAGAACUGAACUAAAGGCUGUCCAACUGGCUUUGCAAAUGUUUCCUGAACCCUGCAAUCUAUUCACUGACAGCCACUACCUGGCUCGAGCUGUUCCAGCCUUGCCACGCGCUUACGUACUCACAAAUUGAGGAAUUAUAUCACUUAUUCUCUAGUAUUCAGCAAAUAUUACAGGACCAGACGAGCUCCUAUUUUUAUAUCCCAUAUAUGGGCUCAUACUAAUAUGCCUGGUCCCCUCUCUGAAGGCAACCACAUUGCUGAUACCAUUACUUACACUUAUAUAACAAAUGUAAACAACAAACAAUUGGCCACACAGAGUCAUGCUAGUUUUCAUCAAAAUGCCUCAACUCUUCGUCAACAAUUUCGCAUCACUAAAGAAGAGGUCCGCCAAAUAGUAAAAAACUGUCUGGCUUGUCCAAUCCACCAUCCUGUUCUUACUUACUCAAUUAAUCCCAGAGGAUUGAUGCCUAAUCAUCUUUGGCAAAUGGAUAUUACCCUCUUUCCUGCUUUCAGCCGCUUAAAAUAUAUACUUGUCUCUAUCGAUACUUUCUCUGGGUAUAUCCAUGCUACUGUACAUUCUGGAGAAGCCUUUACUGAUGUUCAAAAUCAUUUAUUCUCAGCCUUCUCCCAAAUGGGAACCCCUAAGGCCAUAAAAACUGAUAAUGGCUCAGCUUAUAGUUCCAAAGCCUUCCAGAACCUUUGUGCUACCUUUCAAAUUAAGCACUCUAUAGGAAUUCCCUACAACUCACAAGGUCAAGCCAUAGUUGAAAGAGCUAACAGUACUCUCAAAUCUUACCUUAAAAAAUUAAAAGAGGGGAAGAUACUACAGGGAACAGUGAAAUACUCUCCCCAUAUGCAUUUAACUCUAACUCUAUGUUUUAAAUUUUUUGAAUGUUGAUAAUAUAGGACAGACGGCAGCUGAACAGUUUUGGCAUCCAGAUUUUUCUCCUCUCCCUUAUGAUAGGUGGAAAGAUCCACUGACAGGCAUUUGGAAGGGCCCUGACCCUGUCCUUUGCAAGGGGCGUGGGUUUGUCUGUAUUUUCCCACAGGAUGAGGACACCCCGCGAUGGCUCCCGGAACGAUGGUGUCGACUCCUUGCCCCUACGCCGGAGACUAGCCAACCUGACGAUAACUCGCCAACAAAAAAGAAAAAGGAGACGUGUCCUGUCGUCCUAUUUGGACGGAGUGCCUUCAAAAAACACCUUUGGUCAUCUCUCCUCACGGCAUCCCUAAAUUUUCUAUCACGAACUGGUCAAGAAUGACAAGAAAGGAGCCUCUGUGCUAUGUUGCAUAUCCACCUGGUCGACCAAUGCAUAAUGUAACUAUACCCGGAGGAGUUUUUUCUACCGUCGGAAAAAAGUACCAUGCAAAACUCUAAAAAUUGGUCACCGCUAUGGGACUGGCCAAGAUGCAGAUGGCUAAGAACAGCUACACAAACACAAAGGACUCCAAUCUUACUAUACAUGCCUGUGUGCCUAGGCUGUUCUUAUUGGUGGUAGACUAUGAGACGGCAAAUUUUUCCUUCAUACAAAAUAAUGGAACUGAUAUGUUAUUUGAACUAGAAUGUAAAAAUUGUGUAUUAACCAAUUGUUGCCUGUGCACUUGCCCUCACCUCAAACAGGUCCUGUCACUAUCUUUUUGACUAUGCAACUGCCUUAUUUACUAUUACCUGUUGAGAUUAAAGGCCCUUGGUAUGCUAAUUAUGGUUAUCAGUUUGCUGUAAAAAUGCAGCUACAAUUAAAAAGAUUGGGCUGUUGAUGGCCGGUAUUGCUGCAUUGGUUGCUCUUAUAGUUACUGCUGCUGCAGCCUCUAUGGCCUUAUCCCAGGGUGUAUAGACAGCACAAUACAUUAACCACUUAGCAAAGAAAUGUCUCUUGUACGCUGUCUACUCAGGAGCGUAUAGAUCAAAAAAUUCUCAGUCGUCUUCAUGGGCUUGAAGAAGCAGAAUUUCUGGGGAAUCCACUAUCCCUGUUGAAAACCCAGAUGUCCUUGGUUUGCCAUGGCGGGUUUCAGUGUAUAUGUGUCACCCCUAUGAAGGCCACUAAUGUAACGUGGGAGCAAGUUAGAAACAUCUACAAGGAAUAUGGUUUCAUAGUAAUAUAAGUCUUGAUUUGUUGGAGUUGCAAAAGGAAAUCUCCAUUAUCAGUCAUUCUCAGAUAGGUAUGACAAACCUGGCUGAAAUGGUGGCUCGUAUCUUGGAUGGCCUGCACGGAUUUAAUCCAGGCAACCUAUUAAAAUAUUCAUUCUGGAUGUUUAUAAUUAUAUUUACUAUUGUGAUUAUUUUACCUUUUGCAUGGUGCAUGGUUCAGGCCAAGGCAAGACAACACAGAUUCAACAUGGAUGCCCAAUUACAUUUCUUCAAUCUUAAAACAAAAAGGGGGAAAUGUGGGCGGCCACGGACUAGCUGGAGUAACUAAAUCAAACCAGGCCCGGACUUGCAUCCCUCAUCCACUCAAAAGGCUCGGGAGCCUAAAGGGUGAAUAGUUGGUUGACGCUUGAGAAAGGGCUUGAGCAAUGGUUCUCAGAGCUCGCUUGUAUGUGAUCACCCACAUAACACAAUAGAUACAAUUUAUUCUGGCCUGGUCAUAAAUUUAAAUAAGGGCCUGUGCUGUCCUUGCUGGUCUGUUAACCAUAUCUAAUACUCUUUUAAAGUAUGUACAGAUAACCGUGUUACCGGAAAGAUCCACAGGUUGCAGCGCUCAGCUCAGCAGCAUGCAUCAGGAAGGUUUUAAGGUGUUAUCUGAUGGACCAUCGCUGUCCUAAUUGUGCAAACAGCCAUUACACACAAAGCAGUCGUUUGUGUUUUAACUCAUGAGAGAGAAAAAAAAUAAAGUAUGUACAUCUGGAGCAACAAGCUUAUCUAUUAACCAAGGUCUUCUGGCGCCAGUGGGUCUGUCUUACAUACUGAUAAAGGGGAACCUUGGAGGGUUUCACAAACAUGCUAAAAAUAGAUACCUCCUUAGCUUUGUUUUGCUUAUGCUAUAUAAUUUUUUUUAUAUAUAUAAUGUUGUAGAACCUUAAAUAAAGCUGACACUGCUUGGACAUCA